CCUGCCAGAGCCCCGGGAGCUGCCCUGCCAAGACCUAUCCUGGGAGAGCUAUUGAAAGAGCCUCGAGAAAAGGGUCAGGGGACCCAGGGGAAGAGACCGAAGAGGUGGUAUAAUUGAGCCCAAGAGAAGUGACUUGCCCAAGGUUCAGCACUCUCCAAGAGGAAAUAGCAAAGCCAGAAUUAGGCUUAGAUUUUCUGCUCACCAGUCCAGAAACCCGCCUCACCAUGUUGCUCCAAACACAUUUUGAGGCUUUUAUCGGGACCAGAGAAGAUGUGAUGAUGUUGGAGCACAAAGACAUUGAACUGCUGGCUGAUGUCACGAGUAGCAGAGGGAGAGCGCACAGCAGGCCUCUCCCUGCCCCGGGGCCAAGCUUCUCCUCUGGUCCACCCACCGCCUCCCAUCUUCUCCAGAUCCUUCCCAUCCUCCGAGGAGGCCGCCCUCCAGCCCCGCUCUCGGAACACCUGCCCCUCGGUGGGGGACACUCACCAGAUCCGCUUCACAUGUGCAGCCCCUGGAGACACACCACAGAUGCACGUGGAGUCUCAGGGCCCCUUAGACACCAGGACCGGCCCCACGUGCCUCAGCGGCCUGUCAGCUGGUCUGUUGGUGUCUGGCAUACCUUAAGAAUGAAGCGAUUAUGUUUCCUCUUAAUCACGUGCCAGGGCCUGAGUUGGGUGUGACUGAGCGCAAAGUCAGGAGAUCGAAGACAGUGUUGGAAGUGGGAAUAAUCGUGAGUAGAUAUGAACAAUUGUCAUUCCUUUAGCCCUUUACAGUUUGUAUUUUAACACUCAUUAUACAUACCCCUUAAUCUUCACACUAAGCCCAUGAGUGCAUAUUAUUAUCAUCCCUGUUUUAGCCAUGGGAAACUAGGCUCAGAGAGUUCCAAUGGUGGAUCUGGGGGUCACACCUGGGGCUUCUGGCCCCAAAUUGUAUCUUUACCUCACCCUCUGUCCUACACUGUCUGGGCUGGGGAAGGGGACCGACUGGACUAAAAGGGAAAAAGUGCUCUGGAGAGCAAAGGAAAAUUAUGAUACUGAGUUAAGACUGAGCCAGACUGAGGAGGUCCAGUGCAGAUUUCACGUGGAG
This 1086-nucleotide long non-coding RNA is filed under the name Ursus maritimus (polar bear). RNAcentral describes it as "lncRNA (ENSUMAG00000000939.1)". The record is from RNAcentral. Lineage: Eukaryota; Metazoa; Chordata; Mammalia; Carnivora; Ursidae.